RNAcentral lists this long non-coding RNA (2014 nucleotides) under Homo sapiens (human). RNAcentral describes it as "HSALNT0150103". Lineage: Eukaryota; Metazoa; Chordata; Mammalia; Primates; Hominidae. The record is from RNAcentral.
GGUUGAAGUUCCCCUUUCUGAACCCACUGGGGCAUGGCCUUGCCCUCAUGGCUUUGAGGAGCCCCAUUCCCAUGGCAGUUCUCUUAAUGGGGCUUUGAGCAGGCCCCAUCUCCAUGGUGGCUCCUUGCCUGGGUCUUGAACCUGCAGCUCUCCCCAGAUAUAAUCAUAUGCCAGUGGCUCUAACUGUUGGUCUCAAUGUGGCCAUGCCCCCCAUGGCUCCACUGGGAAUUGCCCUAGUGUGGGUUCCCUGCAGUGGCCCCACCUCAUGGCUGCUUUCUGCCUGGGCUCCAGGCUCUCCAGGUCAUCCUUUGAAAUUUAGGUAGAGGGAGCCAGACCCUUAUAGCUCUGCUGGGUGUAGUGCAUAUUGAAUCAGGGCCACGAGAGCCACACCUGGGGCAGUGGAGGAGCAUGGUGACAAAGUGCAGGAAGCAGAACCUUGAGGCAGGGCUGGGCAGAGGGUGCCAAGGUCCCAGGGGUGCCAAUCACCCCUCCUUUGAAAUCAUUCUCUCCCCCAGGUCCUUGCACUUGGGCCUGUGAGUGGCAGCCCCAAUCUGAAAUGCCUUCAGGGUCAUUCUUCUAUUGUCUUGAUGAGUAACACCUGGCCAAUCCAUACUAAUUUCCUUAUCAAAGGGUCAUUUGGCCACACCCUUGGUGUUAGCUCCCAACACAUUUCUCACUUUUUACAGUAUACACAGGCUGAGAAUUUUCCAAAUCUUUAAGUUCUGCUUCCUUAUUGAUUAAAAAUCCAUCCUUUAUUCAUUUCCCCUUUCUCACGUUUUACUAUAAACAUUCAAGAGAAUCUAAGCCAGACCUUCAACACUUUGUUUAGAAGUUUAUUCAACCAAAUAUGCCAUUUCAUUACUCAUAAGUUCUACCUUCCACAAAAACACUAGGCCAAUAAUAUAAUUCAGACAAGUUAUUUGCCACUUUAUGACAAGGAUCACCUUUCUUCCAGUUUCCAAUAGCGUAUUCCUCAUCUCCAUCUGAGACCUUAUCAGAAUAGCCUUUACCAUUCUGUUCAUGAUCAUGUAGGUAUUCUCUAAGAAGAUUCAGCCUUUCUCUACAGCUCUUCUGAGCCCUCACCAGAAUUACCCUUUAUGGUCCAUUCAUGCCAACAUAGGCUUUUUCUAGCGUGAAUCUCACUUCCAGCCUCUAUCAGCCAGGUCCAAGAGCUACUUCAACAUUUUUAGGUAUUUGUUAUAAAAGCACCCCACUUCUUGGUACCAAUUUUGUUGUAGUCCAUUCAGGCUACUAUAAAAAUUACUGUAUACUAGGUAGCUAACAAGCAACAGAAAUUUAUUUCUCACAGUUCUGGAGACUGGAAAGUCUGAAAUUAAGGUGCUGGCAGAUUUGAUGUCUGGUGGGACUCAUUUCCUGGUUCAUAGAUGGAGCCUUGUUGCUUUGUCCUUACCUUCCAAAGGCCCCAGCUCCUAACAGCAUGGCAUUAGUGACUAGAUUUCAACAUAGGAAUUUUAGGGAAACACAAACUUUGAUACCAGAGUGCAAUGGAAUUUUUUGUGUGACAAAAGAUACCAUAAGCAAAGUCAAGAGACUCACCAAAAACUUGAACAAGAUAUUUGUAACAAGUAUGACCAGUAAAGGAUUACUAUCAAGAAUAUAUAUGUGUUCUAUAAAUCACUGAGGAAAAUAAAAGCAAGCCAGGAAAAAAAUGGACAAAUGUUAAUCAUAUCCAACUCAUAGAAUAGAAAUCUGAAUGGAAACUCUAUUAGUAUUCAGGGAAAAUGAAAUUAAAAAAUGAAAUACCAUUCAAAGGGUUAGUGAAUAUGUAGAGAAAAUGAAACUGUGGAAUAUAUUGUUGGUUGGAAAGUAAGUUGGUACAAAUACUUUGGAGGUCAAAUUGGCAGUAUCUAAAAGCUUUGUAUAUUUGCUACCCUAAUUGUAUAUAUACACUUGUGAAAUUCUUGCUCAUGUAUACAAGCAAACAUGUUUAGACAAAUUCAUUGCUGUGUUUAUAUUGGUGAAAAAUUGGAAAGAACAUUAAUGUUCAUCAUGC